CAGUCGCCGCGGUAAUACGAAGGGUGCAAGCGUUACUCGGAAUUACUGGGCGUAAAGCGUGCGUAGGUGGUUGUUUAAGUCUGCUGUGAAAGCCCUGGGCUCAACCUGGGAAUUGCAGUGGAUACUGGGCAACUAGAGUAAGGUAGAGGAUAGUGGAAUUUCCGGUGUAGCAGUGAAAUGCGUAGAGAUCGGAAGGAACAUCUGUGGCGAAGGCGACUAUCUGGGCCAUUACUGACACUGAGGCACGAAAGCGUGGGGAGCAAACAGGAUUAGAUACCCCGGUAGUCCCUGUCUCUUAUAU
Molecule: ribosomal RNA, 301 nt
Filed under: uncultured bacterium
Lineage: Bacteria
Description: partial 16S ribosomal RNA
Rfam family: Bacterial small subunit ribosomal RNA
Source: RNAcentral